RNAcentral lists this ribosomal RNA (1062 nucleotides) under Triticum aestivum (bread wheat). Its description in RNAcentral is "partial small subunit ribosomal RNA". The record is from RNAcentral. Lineage: Eukaryota; Viridiplantae; Streptophyta; Magnoliopsida; Poales; Poaceae.
AUGAAGAGGAUUAUACCGCACCGUCCCAUCAGCGUAGACGAGGACGGCGACACUGCUGGACUUGGCGACGGUGUCACAGGAGCUGGCGAAACCGGUUCAUGGGCCGGCGGAGCGCAGGGGGAAGCAGCCACUGCACCCGGCGCUGGUGAAACCGGUUGUCGGGCCAGAGAGGCGCAGGUGGGCGCUGGCGAAGCUGGUGCACGGGCAGGCGAGGAGCCAGCCGCAGCACCAGGCGGUGCAGACCCUGCAUGCGUAGGCGGGGACCCCGCCUGGGAAGCCGCGCUGCCAUGCACGUCGAGCGGCGUAUUGACCGUGUCCAGACGCGGAAAAUCCUGCACAGGAAAGGAGCUGGCUAGGCCAGAGCCGAACGGCCUGGUGAUCAAGGGCGAGGGCGAGAAGGAGCCCUGGGACGGCGACGACGACUCCGCGAUGCCGAGGUACAGCCGCCGCAUCAAGGUGCCCGCCGACGCGUUCAAGAUGGACAAGAUCAAGGCCGAGAUGAAGAACGGCGUGCUCAGGGUGACCGUGCCCAGGCUGAAGGAGGAGGAGCGCAAGGACGUGUUCCAGCUUGUGCUGUUUUCUGUGUCCUGUCUGUAUUGGCUUGGUUUUCCCAGACCUGCUUCGAAAGGGGAUGCCGCCGCCGGGGGUGGAUCCUCCAAGCUCAAACUUUUACUGAAAAAAGUGGGGAUGCAGCCAACAAGAAAUACUCAGCGGGGAAUUAGGAAAGAAAAGCCAACGAGGAAUUGCAAAAAAAAGGGAUCCGUCGAAUGGCGUCAAGGAUGCUUGCUUCCCCUCGGCUUCGCCUCCCCAUCAAAGCACCAAACCUUCACCACCUUGUUAACCCACCUCUUUGCCUGCUUAAUCUUUAUGUGCCAAGUACUCCAUGUGUGCUCCCUCGCUCAAUGUGCCGCGCCUGGUUGUAGAUACGUGGUGUCACACACAUCGACACAUCGAGCCACGUCUUCUUGCAUUGUGCGCUCGUCUCAUCUCAUCUGCACCAACAUUUUGCACCACGUCUUCCAGCACCGUGAGCUCCAUGCAUCGAGCUUCGGUGCCUCCUAG